AAGUCGUAACAAGGUUUCCGUAGGUGAACCUGCGGAAGGUAUCCACGUUAAAUCCCCCCGUGCACUUUCGAUCCGCUUAACUGUCCGGCUGUGUUGUGGAUCUUUGGCUAAAACAGUGACUUGGGACUUAGCGCUGAACGGUUUUGCGUAUUGAUUGGGUUUCUUUUGGGAGAAGAUGGAAGAGACGACACUGUCGUUUUUCCUUGGUGUGGAUGUUGCAGAACCUGUUAACAAUGGAUAUCUUGGUAUGAAGAACGCAGC
Molecule: unclassified non-coding RNA, 261 nt
Filed under: fungal sp.
Lineage: Eukaryota; Fungi
Description: partial internal transcribed spacer region
Source: RNAcentral